Long non-coding RNA from Heterocephalus glaber (naked mole-rat), 2063 nucleotides. The record is from Ensembl. NCBI's taxonomy places the organism in Eukaryota, Metazoa, Chordata, Mammalia, Rodentia, Bathyergidae.
GUGAGCGAGCCCAGAGUCGCGUACCUCCGGGCUCUGGCCGCUUCUUUCCUCUCAAGCCGACCUUCGCGCUUGCUUCCUGCCGCCCCGUCCCGACCCGGGGCUGGCGACAAUCCCGCGGUGGCUGGUGACGUUCGCUCCGGCUUGGCCGAGCACAGGAAGCCCGCGCCUACGGUCGUGCGACCCUUUUAUAACCCACUUGUGACUCAUAACCGACCGGGCGGCUUUUCUGUCACCCCCCCCCCUUCCCCUCCUCCUGCCUCUUCUUGGAACCCACAGCUUGAAAAACUUUUUUUUUCUUUUUAAAGGAAAAGUCGAAAAAGUCCAGCGCCCCGAGGAGGGGUGUUUUCCCCUUUCCCUUUCUCGUGGGUCACUCGGUGUGUGUUUUCUCUUACACCCGCCAUGUACUUUCCUGACCCGCGCAGCAAGGCUGGGGCGCCAACCUUUGUUCGCAAUGAAAAGGAAACGCAUUCAAAUUACGGCCAGACGUUGCCGAGCUUUCAGUCGGCUGGAGGGGAAGUGCUGCUUCUUACAACUGGCUGGCUGGGGAGUCUACACCCUGCUUGUAGUUGAGAAAGAAAAGUGAAGCAAGUGGAAAGUUCUCCCUUCCUGCUCCUACUGAUUCAGCCAGAGGCAAGCGGUCCCUAACCGAGGAAGGAAUGUCUUCUAGGGACGGUCUGUGUGGCCACGCCCUUAUUUCCCUCAGAGGUCAGCCUUUGGUUUUGGAAUGCACUAAAGGGUUGAGAAAAUUUGUACCUUCCCUACACCCAGGUAUACUUGGGCAUGCUAAGGAUACAUUUGAAUAGUCGCUAAUUUUGACCACACACAUUUUCCCUCCUGGCCCUCCAGACCCACUCCCAGGACAUGUUCCACCCAGGAGCACUUGGGACUUUAGUCACUCUUUUCAUUUCAUCACCCCAGCCUCUGCUUUCUCCCACCCUACCAGGGUGGGUGGCAUUUUCUUGGAGCGGGCCAUUUGAUAGAUGGGGUGGGGCAGAACAAAGAUGCAAAAGUCUGGCAAGUUUAUACUUAACAAGCUUAGUUGAGUAACUCAUUUAUGAGUCUCAUAACCUUUUAGACUUGAAGAAAUAAGAGAGGGGAGGAUAAGAAUAGACAGUUUCAUCAUCAUGCACUCAUUCCUUUUUAUGGAUAAGACAAGGUCACUGCUGGAUUUCCAGCACAGGUGCCUAUACUUGGAUCUUCCAUCCCAAGUGCAAAAGGCAGUAUUAGUCGGUAUAAAAUUGAUACAAGAAAAUUUAUUUCUAGAUCUCCUGAAUGCAUGGCAGAAUUGAAAACCACAUAGUCAAUUUACAGAGGAUCCAGUCUGGUUAAGGAACUUGGGAGAAUUUUAAGACUAUCCUUUUUCCACGAUUUUUUAUAGCACAUAUUGAUUAUACAGUAGAGUGGUUUUUAUUGUGACCCUUUCAUACACGUGUAUAACAAACUUUAACAAUAUCCUUUCCCUGUUACCUUCCUUUACCCUCUCCUUCCCUCUCUCCCAUCCCUUUCAUCUUUUUAAAUUGUCUACCUUCUACUUUCAUGUCAUCUUUUUUGGUCUAGAUUCCACAUGUAAGAGAAAACGUGAGACCCGUCUUUCCGAAUCUGGCUUAACAUAAUGAUCUUCACUUCCAUCCAUUUUACUGCAGAUGACAUGAUUUCAUUUUCCUUUAUGGCUGAAUAAUACUCUAUUGUAUGCCCUCUGUCCCUUAGGAUUAUGAAGGUUGAAGGAUUAUGAAGGCUUCUUCUGGAUCCCAACAGUGGUGCAACCAUAAUUGGUGCCUGAGGCUAAAAAUGUGGCCUUCAUAAGAUGUUCAGACUUAAUAAAAUGUUUUAUUUUUCACAAAGGAUCAGAGUAUUUUUCCUAUCAUAAUUUAAUUUUUAUUCCUUUCACUGUUCAUAACGUUUUGGAAGCCCAAGUCUGAAGUUUGUUUUUUUUUUCACCCACAAUUCCUUUGUUAAAUGAGUUACUGGCUUAUAGUGUUAUGUGACACUCUUAAAUGCUGGGAUGCCUUCAGAGGAUAAAAGAGUGGUGUAUUUUUUUCUGCUCUCUCCAUCAAAUAGAUGAA